GGGGAUAACAAUUAGAAAUGAUUGCUAAUACCGCAUAAGACCCCAGUACCGCAUGGUACAGAGGUAAAAACUGAGGUGGUGUAAGAUGGGCCCGCGUCUGAUUAGGUAGUUGGUGGGGUAGAAGCCUACCAAGCCGACGAUCAGUAGCCGACCUGAGAGGGCGACCGGCCACAUUGGGACUGAGACACGGCCCAAACUCCUACGGGAGGCAGCAGUGGGGAAUAUUGCACAAUGGGGGAAACCCUGAUGCAGCGACGCCGCGUGAGUGAGGAAGUAUUUCGGUAUGUAAAGCUCUAUCAGCAGGGAAGAAAAUGACGGUACCUGACUAAGAAGCCCCGGCUAACUACGUGCCAGCAGCCGCGGUAAUACGUAGGGGGCAAGCGUUAUCCGGAUUUACUGGGUGUAAAGGGAGCGUAGACGGAUAAGCAAGUCUGAUGUGAAAAUCCGGGGCCCAACCCCGGAAUUGCAUUGGAAACUGCAUAUCUAGAGUGUCGGAGAGGCAAGUGGAAUUCCUGGUGUAGCGGUGAAAUGCGUAGAUAUCAAGAGGAACACCAGUGGCUAAGGCGGCUUGCUGGA
RNAcentral lists this ribosomal RNA (576 nucleotides) under uncultured bacterium. RNAcentral describes it as "bacterial SSU rRNA". It matches the Rfam family "Bacterial small subunit ribosomal RNA", at positions 139 to 733 of the family's 1533-position model. The record is from RNAcentral.